CCUACGGGGGGCUGCAGUAGGGAAUAUUGCUCAAUGGGGGAAACCCUGAAGCAGCAACGCCGCGUGGAGGAUGAAGGUUUUCGGAUUGUAAACUCCUUUUGUUAGAGAAGAUAAUGACGGUAUCUAACGAAUAAGCACCGGCUAACUCCGUGCCAGCAGCCGCGGUAAUACGGAGGGUGCAAGCGUUACUCGGAAUCACUGGGCGUAAAGAGCGCGUAGGCGGGAUAGCAAGUCAGGUGUGAAAUCCUAUGGCUUAACCAUGGAACUGCUUUUGAAACUGUUAUGCUAGAGUGGGGGAGAGGGAGGGGGAAUGUUUGGGGUAGGGGGGAAAUGCGUAGAGAUCAGGAGGAAAAC
RNAcentral lists this ribosomal RNA (354 nucleotides) under uncultured bacterium. RNAcentral describes it as "partial 16S ribosomal RNA". It matches the Rfam family "Bacterial small subunit ribosomal RNA", at positions 338 to 709 of the family's 1533-position model. The record is from RNAcentral.